UUAGAGCAUAAGAAAGCUCUCGUUGAAGGAUUUUUUAAGCUGACAACUUUUUUUUUUUUUUUUUUUUUUUGAGACAGAGUUUGCUCUUGUCCUCCAGGCUGGAGUGUGAUGGCAAGAUCUCAGCUCACUACAACCUCUGCCUCCCAGGUUCAAGAGAAUUGCUUGAACACAGGAGGCAGAGGUUGCAGCGAGCUGAGAUCGCGCCACUGUGCUCCAGCCUGGGCAACAAAGUGAGACUCUGUCUCAAAAAAAAAAAAAAAAAAAAAAAAAAAAACCCUUAAUGUCUGGCUUUGUACUUUGCAGUCUGCCUGUCUAAUCUGCAGUAGUCUUUUGAGGAGGUGGCACCGGAUAUAACAUGUCUCUGUUAUUUUUAGAACUAAUUAAAAUGUUUUGCUAUUUAAUUUGUGGGUGUGUCAAAUAUUCUGGUAACUGAAACACACUUAAGGUGUUGGAUGCCUGCCCCAUCACGCUGCACUGUCUGCUGUCACAUGUGUCCUGAAUUCACCCUGUUUUUGCCCUGGGUUUCCCAGGAUACCAAGCCCCUGAGGAUGGAGAUGAUGCAACAAACCUCAGCUU
RNAcentral lists this small RNA (576 nucleotides) under Pan troglodytes (chimpanzee). Its description in RNAcentral is "processed transcript". Lineage: Eukaryota; Metazoa; Chordata; Mammalia; Primates; Hominidae. The record is from RNAcentral.